This 3545-nucleotide long non-coding RNA is filed under the name Linum usitatissimum (flax). RNAcentral describes it as "long non-coding RNA (LUSI_LNC003802)". Lineage: Eukaryota; Viridiplantae; Streptophyta; Magnoliopsida; Malpighiales; Linaceae. The record is from RNAcentral.
UGCCGCCGUGUGGGCCGCUGGGCCGCUCCCGAUGAUGCAGACGCGGGCUCUGAGCUCUUCCAUGAGACGACGAGGAGGAGGAGGAGGAGGAGGAGAAGAAGAAGCGGCGGGGGGUGGGGGGGGGGGGGAGGGGGGGGGGGGGAGUGGGGGAGGGAGGUUGGGCGGCGGUUGAUUUUCUGUCUUGCCGACCCAAACAAAGCCAACGAUCUAUAGUCUCAACAACACCCCGAGCUUCUCAUCCGCACUCAUCACCAUAUCAACCACCAUAUUCCGAAAUUGGCAACUGUCUCGCCAUUUUUUUCAGUUUUUUUCCGUUUUAUUUUUCUGGGUGGGCUUUGAUAAAUAUCUUGGGCUUACCUUGUCUUGUGGGUUUUGAGACGUAUAUGGGCUUUCUGUUACCAGUGGACCAUUUGCAAAACUACAAAACUAGCCCAGGAGACAUCGAAAUAGCACACACGAACAUGUGUAAUUACCUGCUUACAAUGUGACGGUACCAAUUUCACGAGAUAUACGUAAACUCCAAAAUAACUCGAAUUUUUUGGUCAAAAAAUUGCAAGCUGGAGCGCCAAAAACUGAAAUCUCAUCCAACGAUCGAGACGAUUUAAGUAUAUGUUCCUCGACAUCUUACGACCAUCCAACAAGUGGCUAUAUAUGCAAGUUUUAAAGGGGAGAGAUUGAAGGAAAGGAAUCCUUACCUUGGAAAGCAAUGUAGGUCAUUGCUUGCUUUAUACAACACCCAAAUAAGAUGCACAAACAAAGAAUCCCCCAAUUGCAAGGGAAAUGUUGUGCUCAUUCCUAUAGGAUAAAAAUGCUACUUACGGAGCAUUCGAUAUCGUUAUCGACGAUAAACACCAAUGGGAGGCACAGAGCUCUAACUUUGUCCAUUACAAGUUCACAUCUCAAUAGUGUCUUUUGAGUAUCAUCUAGGUGGAACCGGCUAUCCCUUUCUACAUCGCUAUUUACAGAAUCGGCCGAAUUGGUGCAACCAAAUCUCGAUUCGUAGCGGGGGACUUUGGCAUCAAGCAAUUGUAGAGUGAUAGAGAAAGGAGAGGAAGUGAAAAGAGAGAACACAAUAGUAUUUAACAGAUGCAGCAAAAAACAACUCGUACCAAGUUAAAUAGUACACAGCAAACUGAAGUAGCAGGCUACAUAGAGUACAAUUCCCUUUUGAUUCAACAGAGCUAAUAAGGUUCUCACAUGGGGUAACUCUCCCAGUAGCGAACCACACAUUGAUUGUUGCUCUUUCUUACUUGUAGAACUCGAAAUCGGUAUCGGGCUUCUUCACGUUGGAACGGUAACCCUUCUCGAAGUCCUUGGGCAGUAUCACGUACCUGUUCUUCCUUACAGCGUGCAUCCCUGCUUCCUGGCAGAUGGCCGAGAUCUGCAGGGCAAACAAAUUGUCAAUAAGAGAUGCAAGAUGACAGAUCCAGCUAGAAGAUCAAUUGACUACAAAUCGGAUAUAAAGGUUCGGGUCAAAUAUGUCGAUAGAGAAGGAAAAAACACCAUUUCACACAUUGGAAUGUAGAGCUGUCAAGAACUAGGUCUAUCGAGUUACAAGCUACAUGUCAAUCGGAUGAAAAAUCGGGCGAUUAAAAGGGUGGUUCAUCAGUUUCUCAGGUCGGACCACGAACUGGCUUGGGUUGGGUAGGGCUAGGGCUGAGCUAGGUCAGGGCUCUAGUUGAAUGUUUGGAGGGGUGAAAAAACAUGAAUCACAAUUCAACACAAAGCAAAACAAGGAACUGGAUCAACGUCAAAGAAUCUUUCUUUCGAAUCUAGCAAAAGAAACCCGAUGCAGAAAACUUGAUGGUAAGAUAAGCUGAAAGAGCAAGGAUAUGCAAGUAUAAACAAUCAAGGUGUAGAAAGGAACCAAUAAAUGGAGCUAGCUAACCUCGGCAGCGCUAAUUUUAUCUGGCCUCGACACAUAAUCCUCCAAAUCAACCUCGUCACUGAGAUUCAUUUUAGCAGUGCAAACCUGUCAAUAGAUCAUCCAAGGUGCAUCAAUACACAAUACCUGCAAGGGUGAAGUUGCUAUAGCGUGCAAAAGACCACAGUAAUCAGUAGGGAGCAAAUGUUAAUACCUGGAAAACUAGCCUUUUCUGACGUCUAUCAGGCAGAGGGAAUUCGAUUUUUCGGUCCAGCCUUCCAGGACGAAGGAGUGCAGGGUCCAGUGUAUCGGCACGAUUAGUUGCCAUUAUAACCUUUACAUUCACAGUCUGAUCAAACCCGUCCAUCUAGCAACAAUAAUAGAAGCAACAAGUCAGAUUAACACAUAAUAUUAAUCAGACCAUUGCAUUUGAGCUAUUGAUACCAAACUUCCAGCAAGUACCUGAUUCAGAAGCUCCAUCAGGAUACGUUGAACUUCUCUAUCAGCUCCUGUCUGUGCAUCAAACCUAGCCGUAGCAAUAGCAUCCACUUCAUCUAUAAAAAUAAUUGCAGGAGCAUUCUCUUUGGCAAGACGGAAAACAUCACGGACCAUGCGAGGGCCCUGGCGUUACAGAAACAAGAUAAUUAUGAUCAAGAAUCAUUCCAGGUAGUGAAAGAAGAAUGACAUGGACAAUGCAUAUCAAGAAUUCCCAAUAACGGCAAGCAGAAUGUUCAUAAAAAAAGAAUACCAACUUCAGCCCUAAGGGUUCCAUUGAAGACAUACCUCUCCCAAAUACUUCUGCACAAACUCAGACCCAACAACUCUUAUGAAAGCUGCUGUAGUGUGAUUGGCAACUGCCUUAGCAAGCAUGGUUUUCCCAGUACCAGGGGGACCAUAGAGUAACACACCACGAGGAGGGUCGAUACCGAUUUGCUUAUACAGCUCAUGAUGAGUCAGUGGCAACUCUACUGCCUCACGAAUUUCCUGCUUUUGGAUGUCACAUCCUCCAAUAUCCUGCCAAAAACCAUAAGAACAUNNNNNNNNNNNNNNNNNNNNNNNNNNNNNNNNNNNNNNNNNNNNNNNNNNNNNNNNNNNNNNNNNNNNNNNNNNNNNNNNNNNNNNNNNNNNNUAUGCCCAAAGCACCCGGAGGAGGAAAAACAUCGACGAGGGCUUUGGAGUGGCGGUGGAGAGCGACAGAAGCCGAGGGCUUCAAAAGCUCGCGAUUGAUCGUGCUGAGAAUCCUGACGUAGUAGUUCGAACCAGUGGUGGACCCAACAAUCCCGUAGUUCUGGUCCACCAUCUCCAUAAACUGCCCGAUAACCAGAGGCACCGACUGGAUCCGCUUGACCUCCUCCUGCGCGCGGAGGUACUCGCGCUUCAGAUUCUUCUGCUCGUCUUUGACGUACUCCUCCUUGAUUUCAAGGAACUCGAGCUGCCUCUCCAGAGACUUCUGCUUGCUGUAGAGGUCCUCCUCUUCAGCCGAGCCGUCGGCGGCGAAGGGUUGGUGGAUCGACGGUGAUGCCGGCUUCGGGUCCAGCACCAUGGCAGCAGAAGCCAUCACUGACUGUGGGAGGAAUCGGAAUUUGCUGUUUCGUUCGGAAUCUCGGAGAUCGGAGUUCGGGCUUUUUCUACUUCUUUUUGAGAGGUCUGGGAGAAGAAGAAUGGUGGUAUCAAGGUCUGG